This is a long non-coding RNA of Tupaia belangeri chinensis (Chinese tree shrew), 957 nucleotides long. RefSeq lists it as uncharacterized. The transcript has 4 exons. The record is from RefSeq and is a predicted model, not a curated record. Lineage: Eukaryota; Metazoa; Chordata; Mammalia; Scandentia; Tupaiidae.
UGGUGUCGGAGGGCCUGUGAUAUGGCUGCUGGGAGCGAAAUACUGACCUAGACCAGACCUAAACCGUUUUAUGGGGCACCGGAAUCACGCCUCACUCCUGAAACCUGGAGGUGCUCUCCGUGAGAAAUUCCCCUCGAGAAUGCAGUUGAUUUUCACAAGAUCUGGAUGCAAGGCAUGACAAAUUGCAUGUGUGUGUGUGCAGGAUUGCAAGAAAGUACAGUCUAUUUUAAGACCUCCGGCAAGCACUGCUUUUCCAACACCAUUGCACAGGGUCCAGAACCGUCACACAGUACAUUCCUCCUGCAUCUGUAUGCCAACAGAAGGGAAAUGGAGCUACCUGCACCUGUGACCAUCCUGCAUAUGUAGCAACUGUUCUUGUUAAAUGCAUGCACGGAAAAUUUAACCUUUUAUACCCAGGCAUUUACGUCGCCAUACUCUGUCUCCAUCUCCAGCGUUUUUGUCAAAUCUUUUACUUCAGAGUAUACAUGAUCACCAGAGGGACCAUGUGCUCACCAGAGACAGAAGAGAGGAAGAAGGAGAAAGCAUUCCCCAAUAAGAUGUGGUCACACCACAGUUGGUGGUACAUGGACUCAACCUAAGUGUCCCAAAACUGAUGACUGGGUUGAAAAACUGACAUAUAUAGACUAUGUAAUAUUACUCAGUCAUAAGAAAUUAUAGGAUCUUAUCAUUUGACUCAGAGUGGAUGAAUAUGGAAGAUUUAAUGCUAAGUAAAGUGAGUCAGACUUUGAAAGAUAUACACUGUAUAUCCUCACCCUAUGGGUACUGAAUGUCUGCACUCUAUGGCAAAAUUUAAAAUAUCCAAAGAUCUGACAGUAGAGAGGAUAAGUUUAGAUACAAGAGAUGGUAAGGGAGGAUAGUGGAUAGUGUGAAGUGAGUGGUAGAGGGUGGAUAGGAGGGCCAAAGGAAGAAACAUUUAACAGAUAAAAUAAUGUAAAG